This is a long non-coding RNA of Alligator mississippiensis (American alligator), 1812 nucleotides long. RefSeq lists it as uncharacterized. The transcript has 3 exons. The record is from RefSeq and is a predicted model, not a curated record. NCBI's taxonomy places the organism in Eukaryota, Metazoa, Chordata, Crocodylia, Alligatoridae.
AAGGUGCAUUAUGCCACCAAAUUUGCUACAGUGGCUGUAAUUCUUGAACAAUAUGCUGCUGAGGCGUGCAAACACCAACACCAUUAAAGUGGUGCAAAAGCAUUUAGCCUGCUUUAAAGUGUUGUGCACACAUGCCCCUCAUUUUGUCUACACACGGCCCUAGAUGCUAGACAAAUGCAUCUUUUCAUUGCCUGCAUUCAUACUAACUUAGCAAAAUUGGAUCCUCAUCUUUUGACUCUAGAUACCACCGUGGUACAAAUCCACAUGUAAAUAACAGUAGCGCUUACAGUGCUUGUCUAGGAAUUGGGAGGCCUGGUUCUAAGGUUUCCUCAGCCUGAGAGGUUUAAAGUGCACAUCUUCUGCUUCCCUCCUAACCACCAGGCUAUAAGCAAGGCUGGUGAACAGGGCAGGCACUCUCCACCAUUCUGUUGGAAGCUGUGCCUCUGCGCAGAAAGGAAUGCAAGAUUCUUUAGCUUAAAAGACAGAGCACAGAAGGAGGCAUGACACUCUCGGCUGCUGGUUCAGGCCAUUCUUGAUGAGUAAUGAAAUUCUUCACAUGCAAGCAUGAAGCUGAAGGAGAAAGAAGGUUAGGUGAAGUCACAUGUUUAUCAACCCCAAAAGAGUAUGUUGAUUUUUGGAGCGCUGGCGUGGAGCCACAGAGAAGGUUACAGUAUACAGUACAUAAGGGGCAUGUCUACAUGUGCAAUUAAUACGAAGCAAUAAAUUCCAGGGAGUUUAUUGCUCCCGGGCAAGCUGUUUGAAUGUGCAGCCAGAACCACAAGACAUUGAGCUGGGGGGAACAGCCUCAGCUGGCAGGGGACCCUGAGGAUCAGCCUGCCGGGCUGGGGCUGCUUCCCCCAGCUCAAUGUGCUGAAGAGGAGCUCACUGGGACACGAGGGUAGCCAGCAGGCAGCCGCCGGCACUGAAGUACCCUCAUGCCCCAGCUAGCUGGGGCAGCAGUAAAAAACUCCGCAGCAGGAUACUAUUUGUAUUUACAAUACAAGUAAAUACAAUACAUGUAAAUACAAGUACUAUCCUGCUGUAGACUUAAUUAGUCUACUCCAGCCGAAUAGGGGUGCACGUGUAGAUGCACAACAUUUACUGCUGAGCUAAUUAGUCUACUGCACAGUAAACAUAUCAUGUGGAUGCACCCAAGGGGUAUGAUAAAUGAGAAAUAGUGGCUUGGGCAGGAUUGAAAGAACCCAAUAGUAAGAAGAAAAGCUGAUCCUUUGUGGCCUAUCUGGAUCAGCCACAGACCAGUGAUCCUGAUCAGAAGAAUGGACCAAAAAUACCAUUAGAAUGGAAAAUGUGUGUUUAAAAUAAUUGCAGGUGUAUCUAUUCAAUCAGAUGUGCCAUAUUCACUAUGUCAGUAUAACUCCCCUAGUUCUGAUGCAAAUAUAAAUAUGCAGAUAGUAGAACAGUGUAUUCCCAGUGGAAAAAUGUAAACUGUGCUGCUAUAAGGUGCAUUUAUAGCAUAAAAAUACAUUCACAUAAGGGACUUUGAUAAUAUAACUAUAUUGGAAAAAUGAAUAUUCCUAAAUGGCAUAGUUAUUCUGGUACUAAAACAAUGUGAAGACCCAGCCUAAUAAAGUGAUAGUAAGGAAAAAGUUGAUUUAAUAUAGUAGUGAAAGAUCAUCUCAGCAUAUAUUAACCAAAGACUGGCAGUGCCCUCAUCUCCUAUGCUUUUUACUAGGGAUACACUGAUAGAGAUUUUGGGGGCUGAUACCAAUAGCCGAUAUCUAAAGAGGCAUAUUGGCUGGUACUGAUCUGAUAUCCGAUACAGAUGCCAUCGGGCGGUAAGUCUGGUGUGGU